RNAcentral lists this ribosomal RNA (460 nucleotides) under uncultured bacterium. RNAcentral describes it as "partial 16S ribosomal RNA". It matches the Rfam family "Bacterial small subunit ribosomal RNA", at positions 338 to 795 of the family's 1533-position model. The record is from RNAcentral.
CCUACGGGUGGCAGCAGUGAGGAAUAUUGGUCAAUGGACGAAAGCCUGAACCAGCCAAGUAGCGUGAAGGAUGACUGCCCUAUGGGUUGUAAACUCCUUUUAUAAAGGAAUAAAACGAGUCACGUGUUCCUUUUUGCAUGUACUUUAUGAAUAAGGAUCGGCUAAUUCCGUGCCAGCAGCCGCGGUAAUACGGAGGAUCCGAGCGUUAUCCGGAUUUAUUGGGGUUAAAGGGAGCGUAGAUGGGUUGUUAAGUCAGUUGUGAAAGUUUGAGGCUCAACCGUAAAAUUGCAAUUGAUACUGGCAGACUUGAGUACAGUUGAGGUAGGCGGAAUUCGUGGUGUAGCGGUGAAAUGCGUAGAUAUCACGAAGAACCCCGAUUGCGAAGGCAGCUUACUAAACUGUGACUGACAUUGAUGCUCGAAAGUGUGGGUAUCAAACAGGAUUAGAUACCCUUGUAGUC